AUGGGGGGUGUGAUUGGAAAGGGAGACACCCCAAGGUACAGUUCAGCAGCUACAAAGUUAGAGCAGAAGAUGGUUGAUGCCAUGCAGCAGAGGGCACAACAAGGGACUUCCCUGAAGUCAUUCAACAGUGUCAUCAUGAAGUUCCCUAAAAUUGACGAGAAUUUGAGAAACUGCAGGAUUAUCUUUCAGCAAUUUGAUGAAGAUUCAAAUGGUGAAAUAGAUCAAUUAGAACUGAAACAUUGUUUCCAAAAGCUGGAUAUCUCAUUCACAGAUGAGGAGAUAAAAGAUCUAUUUGAAGCGUGCGACAUAUAUGAACACAUGGGCAUGAAGUUCAAUGAGUUCAUUGUCUUCCUGUGCCUUGUUUAUCUUCUCAAUGAUCCAGCUGUGUCAGAAGCAAGAAAAAGAAUGGGAUUAGGUAACCUUGAGCCGACUUUUGAGACGUUGGUUGAUGCAUUUGUGUUCUUGGAUAAGAACAAAGAUGGAUAUGUCAGUAAGAAUGAGGUGAUAGAAGCGAUAAAUGAGACCAGUGCAGGAGAACGCUCUUCUGGACGCAUAGGCGUGAAAAGAUUUGAGGAAAUGGAUUGGGACAAGAACGGAACGGUGACCUUCAAGGAGUUUCUUUUUGCCUUUACUCGCUGGGUGGGGAUCGACGAUAAUGAAGAUGACGACGAUGAUGAAUAA
RNAcentral lists this ribosomal RNA (681 nucleotides) under Triticum aestivum (bread wheat). Its description in RNAcentral is "partial small subunit ribosomal RNA". Lineage: Eukaryota; Viridiplantae; Streptophyta; Magnoliopsida; Poales; Poaceae. The record is from RNAcentral.